GUGGCAGCUUGGUUGUCAUAUGUGUGAUGUCACUUUCUACAGUCUUCCAGAAUGACAUAACAUGUAUGGCUACUAAACUGCUAC
Molecule: microRNA precursor, 84 nt
Filed under: Mesocricetus auratus (golden hamster)
Lineage: Eukaryota; Metazoa; Chordata; Mammalia; Rodentia; Cricetidae
Description: mir-489 microRNA precursor family
Rfam family: mir-489 microRNA precursor family
Source: Rfam by way of RNAcentral